This 446-nucleotide ribosomal RNA is filed under the name uncultured bacterium. RNAcentral's name for it is "bacterial SSU rRNA". It matches the Rfam family "Bacterial small subunit ribosomal RNA", at positions 330 to 793 of the family's 1533-position model. The record is from RNAcentral.
UCCAGACUCCUACGGGAGGCAGCAGUGGGGAAUAUUGCACAAUGGGGGAAACCCUGAUGCAGCGACGCCGCGUGAGCGAUGAAGUAUUUCGGUAUGUAAAGCUCUAUCAGCAGGGAAGAAAAUGACGGUACCUGACUAAGAAGCCCCGGCUAACUACGUGCCAGCAGCCGCGGUAAUACGUAGGGGGCAAGCGUUAUCCGGAUUUACUGGGUGUAAAGGGGGCGCAGAUGGCGAUGCAAGCCAGGAGUGAAAGCCUGGGGCCCAACCCCGGGACUGCUCUUGGAACUGCGUGGCUGGAGUGCAGGAGGGGCAGGCGGAAUUCCUGGUGUAGCGGUGAAAUGCGUAGAUAUCAGGAGGAACACCGGUGGCGAAGGCGGCCUGCUGGACUGCAACUGACGUUGAGGCCCGAAAGCGUGGGGAGCAAACAGGAUUAGAUACCCUCGUAC